Molecule: transfer RNA, 63 nt
Filed under: Mandarella flaviventris
Lineage: Eukaryota; Metazoa; Arthropoda; Insecta; Coleoptera; Chrysomelidae
Description: tRNA-Pro
Source: RNAcentral
CAGAUAUUAGUUUAUAAAAAUUUUAAUUUUGGAGAUUAAAGAUAGGUGGAUAUCUAUAUCUGA